UACGGAGGGUGCGAGCGUUGUCCGGAAUCACUGGGCGUAAAGGGCGCGUAGGCGGCCUGAUAAGUAGGGGGUGAAAUCCUGCGGCUUAACCGCAGGGCUGCCUUCUAAACUGUCAGGCUGGAGCACAGUAGGGGCAGGUGGAAUUCCCGGUGUAGCGGUGGAAUGCGUAGAGAUCGGGAAGAACAUCAGUGGCGAAGGCGGCCUGCUGGGCUGUUGCUGACGCUGAGGCGCGACAGCGUGGGGAGCAAACAGG
RNAcentral lists this ribosomal RNA (253 nucleotides) under uncultured bacterium. RNAcentral describes it as "partial 16S ribosomal RNA". It matches the Rfam family "Bacterial small subunit ribosomal RNA", at positions 524 to 776 of the family's 1533-position model. The record is from RNAcentral.